This 253-nucleotide ribosomal RNA is filed under the name uncultured bacterium. RNAcentral's name for it is "partial 16S ribosomal RNA". It matches the Rfam family "Bacterial small subunit ribosomal RNA", at positions 524 to 776 of the family's 1533-position model. The record is from RNAcentral.
UACGGAAGGGGCAAGCGUUGUUCGGAAUCAUUGGGCGUAAAGGGCGCGUAGGUGGUUCUGUAUGUCUGCCGUGAAAGCGUACGGCUCAACCGUAUUUUGUCGGUAGAAACUGCAGGACUUGAGGCUGGGAGGGGCUGGUGGAAUUCCCUGUGUAGCGGUGAAAUGCGUAGAUAUGUGGAGGAACACCGAUGGCGAAGGCAGCCCCCUGGGUCGACACUGACGCUCAUGCACAAAAGCGUGGGGAGCAAACAGG